UGGGGAAUAUUGGACAAUGGGCGAAAGCCUGAUCCAGCCAUGCCGCGUGUGUGAAGAAGGUCUUCGGAUUGUAAAGCACUUUAAGUUGGGAGGAAGGGCAUUAACCUAAUACGUUAGUGUUUUGACGUUACCGACAGAAUAAGCACCGGCUAACUCUGUGCCAGCAGCCGCGGUAAUACAGAGGGUGCAAGCGUUAAUCGGAAUUACUGGGCGUAAAGCGCGCGUAGGUGGUUUGUUAAGUUGGAUGUGAAAUCCGCGGGCUCAACCUGGGAACUGCAUUCAAAACUGACUGACUAGAGUAUGGUAGAGGGUGGUGGAAUUUCCUGUGUAGCGGUGAAAUGCGUAGAUAUAGGAAGGAACACCAGUGGCGAAGGCGACCACCUGGACUAAUACUGACACUGAGGUGCGAAAGCGUGGGGAGCAAACA
This 427-nucleotide ribosomal RNA is filed under the name uncultured bacterium. Its description in RNAcentral is "partial 16S ribosomal RNA". It matches the Rfam family "Bacterial small subunit ribosomal RNA", at positions 355 to 774 of the family's 1533-position model. The record is from RNAcentral.